CCCAGGGGGGGCCGUAGCCUCCCUCAGGGGAGGUGCCCGCCGGAGGACACACAAACUAUACUUGAAUUAUUGGCCCUUCUGAGAACAAGCUUCAAUAAUCAAAACUUUCAACAACGGAUCUCUUGGUUCUGGCAUCGAUGAAGAACGCAGCGAAAUCCGAUAAGUAAUGCGAAUUGCAUACUUCAGUGAAUCAUCGAACCUUUGAACGCACAUUCCUCCCGCCAGCAUUCUGGCGGGCAUGCCUGUCCGAGCGUCAUUUCAACCCUCAAGCUCAGCUUGGUGUUGGGGCACUACGGCCCACCCCUACCCCUGAAAUUAGUGCGGGCUCUCUGGGAGUCGGUCGUAGAGCAAUAUGUCGCCCGCGGUCUCCGGAGUGUCCGGCGCUAAACUUCCAAAUUUACAGAAUG
RNAcentral lists this unclassified non-coding RNA (407 nucleotides) under Cephalotheca foveolata. RNAcentral's name for it is "sequence contains 18S rRNA gene, ITS1, 5.8S rRNA gene, 28S rRNA gene". The stretch from base 103 to 256 matches the Rfam family "5.8S ribosomal RNA". The record is from RNAcentral. Lineage: Eukaryota; Fungi; Ascomycota; Sordariomycetes; Cephalothecales; Cephalothecaceae.